CCCCAGGGCGCGCGGAGCCGGCGGGUGGCGACUCAGGACAUCCGCCGGGACGCAGGGGCACAGGGUCCGGGGCCUGGGAGACCGAGGCAGCGGGGAGGGCGGCGAGGAACGAAGCCUUCGAAGGGCAUCACUCUGAAUUUGGAUGAGAUCUUCCUGCAUUAGUGAGCUGGAUAUCGAGGCAGAGUGGAGCAAAGCACAUAACCCAUGUUCUGAAUUCCCUCCAGCCCCAGAGCCGGAAGCAAAAGACCCCACUGCUCUUAUUUUCACCCCAGACAUUUCUGAGGUGCUUGUCCUCCAGUCAAGAGCUUCAUGUUGGAUGUUCUAUGCUGACUCACCCUGUCUUAGAGCAAUUCUCUCAUCUGUACAUCAAGAUUGGACAUACUUUACUAUCUUACCAACCAAGCCCAAAAGAUAUGAGAAUGCUAUGUCUUCAGAAAUUAAUAAACAUAUCUAGUGUUACAAGU
Molecule: long non-coding RNA, 464 nt
Organism: Mastomys coucha (southern multimammate mouse)
Lineage: Eukaryota; Metazoa; Chordata; Mammalia; Rodentia; Muridae
Exons: 2
Source: RefSeq, a predicted model, not a curated record